This 253-nucleotide ribosomal RNA is filed under the name uncultured bacterium. RNAcentral describes it as "partial 16S ribosomal RNA". It matches the Rfam family "Bacterial small subunit ribosomal RNA", at positions 524 to 776 of the family's 1533-position model. The record is from RNAcentral.
UACGGGGGGAGCAAACGUUGUUCGGAAUCACUGGGCGUAAAGGGCGUGUAGGCGGCUGAAUGAGUGGGAUGUUAAAUCCCCCGGCUCAACCCUGGAAAGCCGGUGGAUACUGUCGGGCUAGAGUCCGGAAGAGGCGAGUGGAAUUCCUGGUGUAGCGGUGGAAUGCGCAGAUAUCAGGAGGAACACCGAUGGCGAAGGCAGCUCGCUGGGACGGUACUGACGCUGAGGCGCGAAAGCGUGGGGAGUGAACAGG